GUUGUAGUCUGGAGAAGGUCCCUCUGCGACGCGCCGGACCCAAGUUCCCUGGAAAGGGACGUCAUCGAGGGUGACAACCCCGUACGCGCCCGGAACGCGUCGCUCCACGAGGACCUGUCUGUGAGUCGGGCUGUUUGGGAAUGCAGCCCUAAGCGGGAGGUAAAUUCCUUCCAAGGCUAAAUAUGGGCAAGAGACCGAUAGCGAACAAGUACCGCGAGGGAAAGAUGAAAAGGACUUUGAAAAGAGAGUUAAAAAGUGCUUGAAAUUGCUGGGAGGGAAGCGAAUGGAAGCUGCGGGUGCGCCUCGGUUGGAUGUGGAACGGUGUCGACUGGUCCGCCGCUCAACGCGAGGCGCUGGUCAGCGUGGGCCGCGGCGCCGGGACAAAAUCAGGGAUCCGUUUCCUGCCUAUGCCGGUGUCGCGGCCGAGGAACGAAGCGCGCGCCUUCUGGCGUGGGUCCGCCCAACUGCGCGCUCGAGACGCUGGCGUAUUGAGCUCUUCAUCCGACCCGUCUUGAAACACGGACCAAGGAGUCUAACAUGUAUGCGAGCCGGUGGGCGGCAAACCCAUUGAGGCGCAAGUAAACUGACAGGUGGGACCCCGACCGCGAGGGAGGGAGCACCAUCGACCGACCGUGAUCUUCUGUGAAAGGUUUGAGUGUGAGCAUGCCUGUUGGGACCCGAAAGAUGGUGAACUAUGCCUGAGCAGGGCGAAGCCAGAGGAAACUCUGGUGGAGGCUCGUAGCGAUACUGACGUGCAAAUCGUUCGUCAGACUUGGGUAUAGGGGCGAAAGACUAAUCGAACCAUCUAGUA
This 811-nucleotide ribosomal RNA is filed under the name Pelekium scabrosulum. RNAcentral describes it as "eukaryotic LSU rRNA". It matches the Rfam family "Eukaryotic large subunit ribosomal RNA", at positions 142 to 949 of the family's 3401-position model. Lineage: Eukaryota; Viridiplantae; Streptophyta; Bryopsida; Hypnales; Thuidiaceae. The record is from RNAcentral.